AACGAACUCUGGUAUUGAUUGGUGCUUGCAUCAUGAUUUACAUUUGAGUGAGUGGCGAACUGGUGAGUAACACGUGGGAAACCUGCCCAGAAGCGGGGGAUAACACCUGGAAACAGAUGCUAAUACCGCAUAACAACUUGGACCGCAUGGUCCGAGUUUGAAAGAUGGCUUCGGCUAUCACUUUUGGAUGGUCCCGCGGCGUAUUAGCUAGAUGGUGGGGUAACGGCUCACCAUGGCAAUGAUACGUAGCCGACCUGAGAGGGUAAUCGGCCACAUUGGGACUGAGACACGGCCCAAACUCCUACGGGAGGCAGCAGUAGGGAAUCUUCCACAAUGGACGAAAGUCUGAUGGAGCAACGCCGCGUGAGUGAAGAAGGGUUUCGGCUCGUAAAACUCUGUUGUUAAAGAAGAACAUAUCUGAGAGUAACUGUUCAGGUAUUGACGGUAUUUAACCAGAAAGCCACGGCUAACUACGUGCCAGCAGCCGCGGUAAUACGUAGGUGGCAAGCGUUGUCCGGAUUUAUUGGGCGUAAAGCGAGCGCAGGCGGUUUUUUAAGUCUGAUGUGAAAGCCUUCGGCUCAACCGAAGAAGUGCAUCGGAAACUGGGAAACUUGAGUGCAGAAGAGGACAGUGGAACUCCAUGUGUAGCGGUGAAAUGCGUAGAUAUAUGGAAGAACACCAGUGGCGAAGGCGGCUGUCUGGUCUGUAACUGACGCUGAGGCUCGAAAGUAUGGGUAGCAAACAGGAUUAGAUACCCUGGUAGUCCAUACCGUAAACGAUGAAUGCUAAGUGUUGGAGGGUUUCCGCCCUUCAGUGCUGCAGCUAACGCAUUAAGCAUUCCGCCUGGGGAGUACGGCCGCAAGGCUGAAACUCAAAGGAAUUGACGGGGGCCCGCACAAGCGGUGGAGCAUGUGGUUUAAUUCGAAGCUACGCGAAGAACCUUACCAGGUCUUGACAUACUAUGCAAAUCUAAGAGAUUAGACGUUCCCUUCGGGGACAUGGAUACAGGUGGUGCAUGGUUGUCGUCAGCUCGUGUCGUGAGAUGUUGGGUUAAGUCCCGCAACGAGCGCAACCCUUAUUAUCAGUUGCCAGCAUUAAGUUGGGCACUCUGGUGAGACUGCCGGUGACAAACCGGAGGAAGGUGGGGAUGACGUCAAAUCAUCAUGCCCCUUAUGACCUGGGCUACACACGUGCUACAAUGGAUGGUACAACGAGUUGCGAACUCGCGAGAGUAAGCUAAUCUCUUAAAGCCAUUCUCAGUUCGGAUUGUAGGCUGCAACUCGCCUACAUGAAGUCGGAAUCGCUAGUAAUCGCGGAUCAGCAUGCCGCGGUGAAUACGUUCCCGGGCCUUGUACACACCGCCCGUCACACCAUGAGAGUUUGUAACACCCAAAGUCGGUGGGGUAACCUUUUUGGAGCCUUCGGGGACUCGAGGAGUGGAUCU
RNAcentral lists this ribosomal RNA (1444 nucleotides) under Lactiplantibacillus plantarum. RNAcentral describes it as "bacterial SSU rRNA". It matches the Rfam family "Bacterial small subunit ribosomal RNA". Lineage: Bacteria; Bacillati; Bacillota; Bacilli; Lactobacillales; Lactobacillaceae. The record is from RNAcentral.